Molecule: ribosomal RNA, 48 nt
Filed under: Rotylenchulus reniformis
Lineage: Eukaryota; Metazoa; Nematoda; Chromadorea; Rhabditida; Hoplolaimidae
Description: partial 18S ribosomal RNA
Source: RNAcentral
CGUAACAAGGUAGCUGUAGCUGUAGAUGAACCUGCUGCUGGAUCAUUA